This 245-nucleotide long non-coding RNA is filed under the name Homo sapiens (human). RNAcentral describes it as "HSALNT0308385". Lineage: Eukaryota; Metazoa; Chordata; Mammalia; Primates; Hominidae. The record is from RNAcentral.
CCUCCUGAGUAGCUGGGACUACAGGAGCGCGCCACCACACCUGGCUAAUUUUUUGUAUUUUUUUUUAGUAGAGACGGGGUUUCACCAUGUUGGCCAGGAUUGUCUCGAUCUGACCUCGUGAUCUGCCCGCCUUGGCCUCCCAAAGUGCUGGGAUUAUAGGUGUGAGCCACUGCACCUGGCCCCAUUUGUUAUUUCUUUAGGGCACCAUUUUUCAUCUGAUUAUUCACAGCUGAAAAACCAUAAUC